CGGGGGGAGCAAGCGUUGUUCGGAUUUACUGGGCGUAAAGGGCGCGUAGGCGGUCGUGACAAGUCACUUGUGAAAUCUCCGGGCUUAACUCGGAGCGGUCAAGUGAUACUGUCGGACUAGAGUACAGAAGGGGCAACUGGAAUUCUCGGUGUAGCGGUGAAAUGCGUAGAUAUCGAGAGGAACACCUGCGGCGAAGGCGGGUUGCUGGGCUGAUACUGACGCUGAGGCGCGAAAGCCAGGGGAGCGAACGGGAUUAGAUACCCCGGUAGUCCUGGCCUUAAACGAUGAAUGCUUGGUGUCUCGGGUUAUAAAGUCCCGGGGUGCCGUCGCUAACGCUUUUAGCAUUCCGCCUGGGGAGUACGGUCGCGAGACUG
Molecule: ribosomal RNA, 374 nt
Filed under: uncultured organism
Description: bacterial SSU rRNA
Rfam family: Bacterial small subunit ribosomal RNA
Source: RNAcentral